Molecule: long non-coding RNA, 3391 nt
Organism: Oncorhynchus mykiss (rainbow trout)
Lineage: Eukaryota; Metazoa; Chordata; Actinopteri; Salmoniformes; Salmonidae
Source: RefSeq, a predicted model, not a curated record
AUAUAUUCAUACACAUAGCUCAUAUAUUAUACAGCGCCAAACUUAUCCGCUUGACUCAAGUCAUUGCACGUAUCCCUGCCCAAACAGGAACGAACACAUAUACCCAACCAUAAACUGCCCCUCUCAGUUCUCUUAUCUCACGACCCCAGGACACACACAGACAUUCCAUCGCACGAACACACACACCCAGCCAUAAAACUGCCCCUCUCAGUUCCCCCUACCUCACGAUCCCCUGACACACAAAUACCUUCUUGCAUAAACACACACACUUCAUCCCCCCUCUACUGGUCGGGUGCCCAGAGCAGAAGACUCUGCUGUGCACCAAUGGGGCUCCUGCUCUGGCUAGAGCAGGUCCGCCUCCAACCCUUCGGGACCAUUCAGAAGGCGACACGACAAAACUCUACCUACAUUAUUCCAUGUAUAAAAACUGCUGUAACCUUUGUCUAAGCCCCUUUUUCAGCUAACUCCUUCUGAGCUAUAUGAAUCAGGUCCGUGCACGUUAAACUGCAGGACAAGAUAUCUUUUGACUCAAUAAACUGCCUUUUUGUUACAACUGAAAUCCACUCUGUCCAGCGUCCAUGAUUUGGUCUCACUCUCCUGUAAGUUAAUCAUCAACAGAGGCGAGACAGAGGUGAGGACAUCAUCCUGCUAUUUUGACAGUCCCUGAAGGACAAUACAGAAGAGGACUGGAGACCACAGCAGCGAUUCUGCUCUUGCCCAACCUCUUCAAUUGAGGACCCGAGUGGCCUUUAUGUCCGUGACAAGAUUUCACCGCUUUUCACUCCUUUACUGCACAUCAGUGGAAAUCCAUUUCACCAUGAGAGUGAAAACCCGCUGGCCUUUGAUGGGGAGAACAUCCACGCCCUCGAGGACGUCCCCAUGGGACUUGGGGCUCUGCUAGGACUCUCCAUAGCUACGUAGCAACUCUCCAAACUCCCAGCGGAACCAAAAAUAAACUUUUGUUUCCCGGACAAUGAUCAUGGGAUCGUCAACGGUUCUCUAACCUCCCAGAGACCACGGCAAAAUCAAGCCUCCCAGGAACUAUAGACCUUCAGCUGCUUUCUAAAAUGUCAAUCAUCUGAUUAAGCAUAUUUCUAUAUGUUACUAUCCAAACGUCAGAUUAAGACUCAUUUCCAUAUUCACACAACUCUCAUAUCAGUCACACAAUGCUAUUCCCAAACAUACCUAAUCAAUUAGUUGUUUUUCAACAAUAUUUUAACCUGCAGGAAUAUUUUCACAUUUCUAUCUCAUGGUUAGUUCCUAGGAUAAUGCAACUCAUACAUUGACACUCAGAACCUCCUGUCUCGGCCCUGUUUACACCUCCAAGGUGCCCCCCUCACACAGGAAUACACACUCAGAGCCUAUGAGGCUUUUCUAAAAACUCCACUUGUUUUGCUCAUUUUCUUUUCUUUAAAAAAAAAACUACGUUCGAGAUGUGGUAUCCACUCGGCUCGCUGCCUCUCAGAUCAAAGGUGGGUCCAUCUGCUCCGUUCCCGAAGUCUGGUCUCCCUGAGAUUCCAAGUUUGAGGGAUCCCUCCACGAUUUACCCACGUCGUGAGGAGCGGUCACCAAGUCAAGAUUCACAUCCCCAUUGCCAAAUGUGGUGGUUAAUUUCUUUAAUAUCAAAUGAGAAACAAACUUAUCACAUAAGUCAGAGUUAUUCUUAAACUAAAUCUUUAUUCACUUAAUAAUAAGGGAGCAGGUCAAUACAACACACACAUAUAAAGUGAAUCAAUUGAGUGCUCUACGAUAAUUAUGGCUGGUCGACGAAUCACCCCCAGAUGAUUAGUUGAGAGCCCAGAUACAAAAGUACAAAGGUAUUUUACAGCCAAUUUACACCCCUUUCAAUCUACAUGACGAACAACCAAUGUAAAGAAUGGGUCACAAGAUAAAGAUUUGUAUGGAAGAUAUAAUUCUCAGCAGACAGUAUCUGCUGUAAAAACAGUACUCUUUGUGUAGAGACCAGGGUCUGGCCCUGGGGUCAUCUCUCCCUGGUACCACAUAGAACAGAAACAUUAACUCAUAAUCUGGAAUGUGGUCUCUUCAUGUAUUAUCACCCAAAAGACAUUGUAAAUCUCCUGUCAGUGUUAUCUCCCAGAGGCCCAUCCUCAGUAGAACACACAGACACAAUAGUUCUAAGAAUCCUCUAUUCUGUUGCAUAAAACAACCAUUUGAUGCAAUAAAAGUAUAAUAACAUAAUCUUGCAAUUUUGCUCUCAGUGUCCACUGAAAGUUGACUAGUAACAACAACUGGGACCUAAAAGACACCCACCAUGAGACCCAUUAAAUCUGCCCAAGAAGAGGCAAACAAAAGAAAAACCCACAACUAACUUAAAAACAGGAAGCAAACCAAAGCGGUAGCGCAACUAAAGGUGUUGAUUUGUCACAUCUAUCAAGACAACUGGAGCACUGGGCCAGACACUCUUAAAUAUAACCUGAAUCAGCUCAGGUGAAACACCUUCCCACUAACGAGAUGGACAAGCCAGCAAAGGUGGAACACAUAUUGACUAACGAGGUGACACCAAAACGUGCUAACGUUCAACCUCAAAACAUAAAUGGAAAAACUAAAGUCUGUAACACCUUCCUCCUUAAGACAAAUAUAUCCUGUUUUUGUUGGACAAGUUUGCUUACCACCAAGAGAAAACAACUUCCAUUUCACAUUAUAAUCUACUAUAAUGCUUCACCUUCUACAAUAUAAACAUGGUGUCUACUGGCUAUCAACAAUUAAAAACAAGAAAAAACAUUUGUAAACAAUAUAUACAAUCAUAUUAUUUUUAUAUCCCUUUUCUUACUAUAAAACUCAUCUUCCUAAAACCCACUAGCUUCUGGAACUCUCAUCCCCUUGGAACGAGCUCAAACAAAACUCAUCUCCAAUACAGAAAAACAUGCAAUAAACUGUGAUCCAUGGCAACGCACUGGCUAAACGUAAACACUAAACUUUUUGACUACCCACCCUUGAGACAAUCAGCAACCAAGUUGUCCUUAACACAGACAUGUCUGAUUUCAAGAGGAAACUCCUGCAAUACCCGUAGUAACUUUCCACCUCACUGCGGAGCUUCUCUCUCUUUCCAGGGUUCACUAGAUGUUGUUGGAUCUGGGCCCAGUCCCCAAUGUCAUGCUCUAGAACAUUUGGUUUGGCACAUCUGAGAAUGAUCCCUGAUAUUCUAAAAGCAGGGUAACAAUGUCAAUAUAAUUGUACCCAAAAAUCGUCAGUUGGUUGCAUAAAUAAUUAUGAUUACUAAAUGUUACAUGAAUUGUAAAUAUGAAAUAUCAAAACCAAAUGUACACCCCUUUGUUAAUAUGUAUUAGCAAUAAUUAACUAAAUUGAAAUAUUUGUAGGUGAUUUGAGUCAUGCUUCGUCAUUAUUGGAAUAAAGACAUUUAGCACUUGAA